UACAGAGGGUGCAAGCGUUGUUCGGAAUUAUUGGGCGUAAAGCGCGUGUAGGCGGCUUUGUAAGUCGGGUGUGAAAGCCCUCAGCUCAACUGAGGAAGUGCGCCCGAAACUGCAGAGCUUGAGUACCGGAGAGGAUGGCGGAAUUCCCCAAGUAGAGGUGAAAUUCGUAGAUAUGGGGAGGAACACCGGUGGCGAAGGCGGCCAUCUGGACGGAUACUGACGCUGAGACGCGAAAGCGUGGGUAGCAAACAGG
RNAcentral lists this ribosomal RNA (253 nucleotides) under uncultured bacterium. RNAcentral describes it as "partial 16S ribosomal RNA". It matches the Rfam family "Bacterial small subunit ribosomal RNA", at positions 524 to 776 of the family's 1533-position model. The record is from RNAcentral.